UUUGCCUACGGGGGGCAGCAGUGAGGAAUAUUGGUCAAUGGUCGGGAGGCUGAACCAGCCAAGCCGCGUGAGGGAGGAAGGUACAGAGUAUCGUAAACCUCUUUUGUCAGGGAACAAAGGCGGGGACGUGUCCCCGGAUGAGUGUACCUGAAGAAAAAGCAUCGGCUAACUCCGUGCCAGCAGCCGCGGUAAUACGGAGGAUGCGAGCGUUAUCCGGAUUUAUUGGGUUUAAAGGGUGGGCAGGCGGUUUGUUAAGUAAGGGGUCAAAGGCCGGGGCUUA
Molecule: ribosomal RNA, 280 nt
Filed under: uncultured bacterium
Lineage: Bacteria
Description: partial 16S ribosomal RNA
Rfam family: Bacterial small subunit ribosomal RNA
Source: RNAcentral